UAUGUGACAUCGGACAAAUAACUUCGGACCUCAUUUGUAAAAUGAAUCUUGCGAGACUGUCGUGAGCAUUAAACGAAAACACCAUCUGUGUAGGAUGGCGUACACAUCCUGGGAAGGUACAAUCCUGGGAAGGGUAAUACAGACAACUCGCUCACACGCACCAAAGAGCGAGCAGCAAGCACAGAAAACCCUCCUUCACGCUGUGCGCAGGCGCUCGAGGCAAAGACCCCCGCGGGCGCUCCCGCGGACUCUGCGGCUGCGCAUUCGCACGGUUUUGCGACCGUACUGCUUGACGGCGGCGGUGUCAGCCCUCCGGCUGGUGUUGCCGAGGUAACAAGGGGCGCGUGGGGCUCUGGAAGCUACCCUUGAGAAAUGGCGGAAGCAGUUUUCCACGCCCCAAAGAGGAAAAGAAGAGUGUAUGAGAGUUAUGAAUCUCCUUUGCCGAUCCCUUUUGGUCAGGAUGGUGGGCCUAAGAAAGACUUCAAAAUAUUCACUGCUGAAAUGAUAAACAACAAUGUAAUUGUGAGAAACGCAGAAGAUAUCGAGCAGCUGUAUGGGAAAGGUUAUUUUGGAAAAGGUAUCCUGUCUAGAAGCCGUCCAAACUUCACAAUUUCAGAUCCUAAGCUUGUUGCUAAGUGGAAAGAUAUGAAGACAGACAUGCCUAUAAUCACGUCAGAAAAGUAUCAGCGUAGUAUAGAAUGGGCCACAAAGCUCAUGCAAAGACAGGGGCAGGAUGAGAGUACAGUGCACAGAAUCCUCAAGGAUUACACAAAACCACUCGAGCAUCCUGGUAUAAAAAGGAAUGAAGAAUUUCAAUGGCAUGAUGAGCUGAAUUCUGAAACCAUUCCCAAAAUGGAAGGUAUUGCAGAUAGAGAGGAACUUUCUGUGAUGAAUGGGGGCUCGGAAAAGUCACUAGACCUGGAGGGUCCUAACGAGCAAUCAGACCACCUACAAGAGAGCUCAGGGCCUGACCCACUGACUCCAGAUGGCUUGGAUGAACACUUGGUAGAGGUUGCCACACUGCAGCACUGCCCCCCACCCCACGUUCAUUGCAGCAAAGAUAUUCUCCCCCGGCGUGACACUCAGCCUGGGGACAGGAGUCCCCAAGUGGAUCUCAUCUGUGCCAGAGAGAGAGGGCCCAGUGAUGAGUAUGUGCUGGUAGAGGAAGAUGUGUAUCAUGUGAGCGAGAAAGAAUGUGCCCCACGUGAGGAAUUGGCACCAAAAAAGAGAUUAAUAUGCAGAAGAAAUCCAUAUCGGAUCUUGGAGUAUUUGCAACUUAGCCUAGAAGAGGCCUUUUUCCUGGUCUAUGCUCUAGGAUGUCUAAGCAUCUACUAUGAGAAGGAGCCUUUAACAAUCCUGAAGCUCUGGAAAGCUUUCCCUAUAGUUCAGCCCACAUUCAGGACUACAUACAUGGCAUACCAUUACUUCCGAAGCAAGGGCUGGGUUCCCAAAGUGGGACUGAAGUAUGGGACAGAUUUACUGUUGUAUCGAAAAGGCCCUCCAUUUUACCAUGCAAGUUAUUCUGUCAUUAUUGAAUUAGUCGACGACCAUUUUGAGGGCUCUCUUCGCAGACCUUUCAGCUGGAGGUCACUGGCUGCCUUGAGCAGAGUUUCAGUUAAUGUCUCCAAGGAACUUAUGCUGUGCUAUUUGAUUAAACCCUCUACCAUGACUGACAAAGAGAUGGAGUCACCAGAGUGUAUGAAACGAAUCAAAGUUCAGGAGGUGAUUCUAAGCCGUUGGGUUUCUUCACGAGAGAGAAGUGACCAAGACGAACUUUAACAAUUCAAUCUCAGAAUUCUGAUUUACCAACAAAUACUGUUGAGUGUCCUACAGUAAGCCAAGUUCUGUGUGAGCUCAGGUUCAGCAAGAUUGGAAAUUUGCUCUGUGAUAAAACCACCUUCACAAAUGGCUGUGGUUCAGUGGGGAGAUGCUGCCGCCUUAGAGAGAAGUUGCUUCACCCACUCUCUUCCAAGCAUGUUUUAUGUGGUUCUUAAAUCUCAAACCUCCAAGAUUUGCUUUAAAACUGGAAUUCUUCACCAAAUCCUCUCUCUCAGCUCUCCCAAGGUGUCGAAGCUGCCCAGUGUACCAGCAUGUGCUCAGUAGCAUCACGCUGACUGGCCAUGCACCCUCCAUACAAGAAUUUCACUGGCUUUAUAACAGCACACCACACUCAAGAACGCCACAAAACUUUGUGGAACGAGCACUUUUUACAAGUUGUUUUGUUACCCAGUGCAAAAAAUAUAUACACAAAAAAGAAGGAAUACAUACUUGGCCAAGACUGUAUCUUUUAUGUGACCACCUUUCUCAACUAUCACUUCUAAUUUUUUUUUUCGAAUAAAGGGGAUUUCUUGGGCCUUUAAAACUCCCAUACUUUAAUAGCACCUGGUUGGCUCAGUCAGUUCAGUGUCCAACUCUUGAUCUUAGCUCAGGUCGUGAUCUCACGGUUUGUGGGAUCGAGCUCCUCACUGAGCUCUGUGCUGACAGCAUGGAGCCUGCUUGUGAUUGUCUCUUUCCCUCUCUCUCUCUACCUGUCCUGCUCACGUGCUCUCUCUCUUUCUCAAAUAAGUAAAGUUUAAAAAAAAAAUCACCUACUUUCUUCUUGGGCUUUUCCAGUCCCACAAGAGACGUUUUUACUUAAUACAGCGGGGGAAAUGAUGCGACAAUACAGCACACGUCUAAACAGCACAAGCAUGGAGCAGUCAGCUAAGACCAGCACAUGCCGUGUGGUCUGGACACUCACAACUUGAGUGAUUUUGCUGAUGACUCCUAUACUCAUUGUUUUGUAUUUGGAUAGCCAAUAUACCAUUUUUUUUUGUAAAUAGUUACAGCAGAUUUUCAGAUAGUAGAGUCUAAGAUGGGGCAGACCCCUGUGUUCUUGCUUAUCACACAAUAGGCUUUUUUUCCAAUACAGAAAAUCAAUUUGAUUUCAACAACUACAAAUACAUGGAAAAUGGGAAUUGAAAUUUAAAAAUAAAAAUAGUAUCAUUUAAAAUAACAUAAAUCAUGAAAUACUAAGGUAUAAAUCUUAGAAUCACACAACAGACUUUUGACUUCAAAUGGUGGGAGCCUCCACAAGACGAAGGUUUGAGGCUCAGAGACGUGACCACCCCACACCACCGCCACGGAGUGCGAGCGGAGGACUUGACCCCAGAGCUCUCAGUCCUAUUUAGUGCCUUUAUAAGAUCUCCACAGCUAAAGUGAAACCAACCUAGAAAAGCAUGUGAAGUCAGACAUACAUCACCAUUAAGACCUGAGUGGAGGUUAGAAAGGAAGGCUGCCCAACACUCCAGGCAGGCCUGGUAUGUGCUGGUACAUCUGGGUGGUGGUCCCCUGCCUCAGUGUUGGGGUGCAGCCUGGGGCCCCCACCAGGAACAUGCUCGUGCAUCUGGUUUUGGCAUAAUCUUCAGGAGGUUCACAGAUUCCAUGAGGACCAUCUGUGGACCCCACUUACAAACCUGGAAACGUUGUGUGGUUCUUAACUUGUAAUUAGUCUCCACAGAGAUAAUUUUAUUGAAGGCUGGGUAAUGGGGUGAGCCUUCUACAAAGGAACCAGUCGUAGCUCAGCUCUCCUGUGCACAGCAAGUCGAGAGCUGAGGGCUGUUCUGUGGCCAGAAGGGCUGUUCUGUCGGCUCAGUGAACUGCAUUACCUUCAUGCUGCCUCCUGAAGAACCCAUGGCUAGAACAGGUCGGUCACCCUUGGGAGGUGGGGCCAGCUGGGGCAGCAACAGGACACCGAAAAAUGGUUCUGUAUUGCAAACCUGCCCUGCCUUUAAGGCACCACCUCCUCAGGUUAGACUGAGUAGCUUACAGUUAUUAGGAUUUUUUUUUAAGUUUAUUUUAUAUUUAUUUAUUUUGAAAGAGCACAGGCAGGCGAGGGGCAGAGAGAGAGAGGGAGACAGGGAAUCCCAGGCAGGCUCUGCAAUGUCAGCACACAGCCCAACGCUAGGCUCAAACCCACAAACCUUGAUGACCUGAGCUGAAAUCAAGAGUUGGAUGCUUAACCUCCUGACCAACCCAGUUGCCCCAGUCUUCAGGAUUUUUAAAAUGUUGAGACUCUGGUUGUCAGCACUUGCUUGGUUUCUUUAAUUGGCCUUGGCUGGAUGACAAGAUGGCUGUGGUUACAUGCUUUGGAGUCAGGCACAGGUUUGCAUCCCAACUCAUCCCCUUACUCACCAUGUGAUCUUAACCUGUUUCCUCAUCUAUAAAAUAGAAUUAAUGUUCUCAGCCUUCACAUACAAGGGAAUCCUGUUCAGCCACAAAAAGGAGUGAAGAGCUGGUACGUGCAACAUGGAUGGAUCUCAAACACGUAUCAAGUGAAAGAAAUGCCACAUAGUGUUUGAUUCCAGGUAUAUAUCCAAAAUAGGUAAAUUCAUAGAGAACACAGAUCAGUGGUUCCCAGGGUCAGUGGGGAAGGACUAAGGAGCAACUGUUUGGUGGGUCCAGAGUCUCCUUUAGAGGUAAUAGAAUGUUUUGGAAGUGGAGGUGAUGGUUGCACAACACUGAAUCUACUAAGUGCAGAAUCUUUCCCUUGAAAAUAGGUUUAUGGAAUAAGAAUCUCACCUCCAUGAGAAAAAAAAAAUAAAUAAAAAUAAUAAUGAUGUCCAGAGGCUUGCUGGAAGAUUAAGUGUCUUGGCCCUUACAAGGUGCUUAUUAGUACCAUGCCUGGCUCGUGAUGGACUUCCAGUAAUUUCCAGCUAUGCUGAUUCAUUUGGUGAGACAAGAGGAAGUUCUGUCUUAAGAACCACCAUUACCCAUCAUCUGAAGGCAGUGAUUUGUGCAGUCGCUUAUCGUAUGUUGAUUCUCUUAGCUUCAGUUUUAGAGACUGACAUUUUUCUGACCUCAUUCCCAGACUGUGCGGGGAAAUCCCGAUGUCUGUGCCUCUACUGACCUAAGUUCUCCUGUAAGGAGACUCAGUUCUAUUAAGUGAUUCAUACAGGGAUUGGCAGGGAUUAAACCAACAUGAAUGGGACGUGGUUUUAGGCAGUUUAACUGGGAUUGAGCUGCUCAGGUUUCCCUACAUUUUUGAGCAUAGUCUGUACACAAGUCUGAAAAGUCAUUGUUACUUGUGGAAUAAAAUUUUGAUUCUUUUUUUUUUUUUUUUGCCCUUAUUGUUAAAGCAUUGUCAUUUUCUUUCUUCUUUUUUUUUAAGUUGCUGUUUACUUGAAUUGGUUUUUAACUUAGUUUUCCCCUUGUGGAGGAGUACUUAGGUUGAAAAGAAAUGAGUUAUCUUCUCCCCACCACCUACCUCCCAUUUGUGAUUUUACCAACUAAAUUGAUUUCUUAAAAAUCUGAUUACAGACUCAAAUAAUUAUACCAUGAAUGUUAACUUCCAUGAAACUAACUGAGGUCCAUUUCUAAAAUUGAGAGUUAUCUAAUGCUUGAUUUAUCUUCAAUCUUUACUUUUUUUAUAUAUAAGCUGAAAAAGUUUAGUCUUUCUACCACUUCGUGUAAUACAGGGAGACAUCCUGUAGGAGUACAUGAUAUGAAAAAGCACAUUUGUGAAACUGUUAAACUAAGAGGUAGUGUUUUUUUUAAAUUUCAAAGUAAUUCACUCUUUUUUAAAAAAUGAAAGAUUGCAAGCAUUUAAGAUGUUUAGAAUCUUUUUAUUUUCAGAAACAAUGU
Prionailurus viverrinus (fishing cat) is the source of this 5622-nucleotide RNA transcript. It is a transcript of the gene named tRNA splicing endonuclease subunit 2, with no coding region annotated. The record is from RefSeq and is a predicted model, not a curated record. NCBI's taxonomy places the organism in Eukaryota, Metazoa, Chordata, Mammalia, Carnivora, Felidae. The transcript has 13 exons.